This 528-nucleotide ribosomal RNA is filed under the name Triticum aestivum (bread wheat). RNAcentral describes it as "partial small subunit ribosomal RNA". The record is from RNAcentral. Lineage: Eukaryota; Viridiplantae; Streptophyta; Magnoliopsida; Poales; Poaceae.
AUGACCCCUGCGGAUUUGACCCUACCUACACCCGGAGUCAAUCCCCUAGCGGUCCUGCCACCACGCCGCAAAACAGGAGCUCGUGUGGAACCUUGGAUUUCUGGCGUAACAGCGGUGGAAGGUAUCAAAAUAUUACGGCCGCAUAACAUAGUAUAUACGCUAAGGUCGGCCAAAAUAUGGACACCCGAAGGGCCCGGCGCGCACAAUCCUAUCCUAUCCGAGCCCGUCAUUGCAUGCACUUUGGACAACCGUCCGUACCAUCAUAAGGAGCACCUCCCUUUCGAGGUACCCAAAUGGAACGGUCUUUAUUUGUGUUGUUGGUUGGUCUUUCUCAACGUGGUCCAUAGCACGAAAAACCAUUCUUUACAAGAUAGGGCCGUUCACAUGAAAGAAAAUACAAAAUCCAUUCUUCAUGGUCGGGCGCAUUUCUCCAAAUCCUCCAGGAUCACAAGUGGAACGCUAAGCAAGGGUGGGGAGGCUUCGAGCUCUGCGUCGAACAGAAAGAAGCAAGAAGGGGUGUUGCCAUAG